UAGAAAGAUGGGACUCGAACCCACACCUAAAAACUCAAAAUCUUUAGCACUCCCAUUACACUACUUCCU
RNAcentral lists this transfer RNA (69 nucleotides) under Stenocercus percultus. RNAcentral describes it as "tRNA-Gln". Lineage: Eukaryota; Metazoa; Chordata; Lepidosauria; Squamata; Tropiduridae. The record is from RNAcentral.